CGGGUGAGUAACGCGUGAGGAACCUGCCUCAGAGAGGGGGAUAACACACCAAAAGGUGUGCUAAUACCGCAUAACAUAUGAGAGGGGCAUCCCUUUCAUAUCAAAGAUUUAUUGCUCUGAGAUGGCCUCGCGUCCAAUUAGCUAGUUGGUGAGGUAACGGCCCACCAAGGCGACGAUUGGUAGCCGGACUGAGAGGUUGAACGGCCACAUUGGGACUGAGACACGGCCCAGACUCCUACGGGAGGCAGCAG
RNAcentral lists this ribosomal RNA (251 nucleotides) under uncultured bacterium. RNAcentral describes it as "partial 16S ribosomal RNA". It matches the Rfam family "Bacterial small subunit ribosomal RNA", at positions 103 to 354 of the family's 1533-position model. The record is from RNAcentral.